CACAGACUCGACAGCUGUGAAGUUGCGCUGUCAUAAAUUAAUGAAUCAGUCGGUGAGAUCCUUCCCACCCGGCGUAAUACAUCAUCACUUGUGAUGUGGCGUCACCACAUCAAAUACGUAAGCCAACUAGGGCAUAACACAAAAUCCCUCCCAUCCUUACAGAAGGUAACAAAAAGCCUUUUGAAAUUGUCUUCUCAUCCCUGUCUCUCUCCCUCUCUCUGUUCCAUCAUAAAUUUAAAGGGAAGAGGCAUAUUUCAGGUUUGUGCAUGAAUCUAAUAUAGCUAAAAAAUCCCAUCAAACAGAAAUUAAAAUACUAGAUAGUACUCAGCACUAGUUAAGUAUAGUAUUAGAUUCACGCACAAACUCGUAAUCUGUCUUUUUCAAUUCCUUUCCUCUUCUUUUUUAUCUUCCCAGCAGGCAGGCCGCUCUUGUUCUUCCAUGGAUUUUCUUGUCUCUUCUGCUUCAAAUCUUGAUGUCCUUUGGCGCUGUUGGCUUUGGGGAUCAUCUUUCAGUCAAGUUCAGAAUCCCAUGUCAAUAAUUUUAGCAAUUGAACAUUUUAAUGGUGGUUCUUUAUCAACUACCCGUCAAGGAGAAAAACGUGAUUUGGUAAGUCGGGCUACCCAGUUUGAUUAUUGAUACGAGGCUUGAUCAGUUCCCUGAAUUAGCUAAUAAGCUGGCGAUUUUAUUUAAUUUGAAGCAUACAAUAGCUUAAUUCUGUAUGAAAAUUUGUUUAAAAAUCUGGAUAGGUUAGUUACAUUUCAAUUUCUAUUUGAAUGAACUCUAUUAUUCCAAAGGGCUCAUUAAUGCUAAUGCUCUGCAACGCAUUGUUUA
Molecule: long non-coding RNA, 831 nt
Organism: Populus euphratica (Euphrates poplar)
Lineage: Eukaryota; Viridiplantae; Streptophyta; Magnoliopsida; Malpighiales; Salicaceae
Exons: 2
Source: RefSeq, a predicted model, not a curated record